UUCUACCCAAAAGAUGAGCCACAGAGUCGCUCAGAUCUAACUUAAAAACAAGUAUCUUUCCCCACUUGGCCAGGAGACGGUUUCACUGGCAGCCAUUACUAGACGUGCAGGAAGAAUUUACAUGGCUUGGGCUGAGGUUGGAAAACAGGAAAAAUAUAAACACCAGUGAUAGAGACAGGAGGCAGCCAAGGACCCCUCCUGCCCCCAACACCUGACGAAAUGCCGCCUUCAAGCCUAAAACAGCAUGAGGGAUGAAAAACCAGACUGCCGGUCCGGAUGAAGCCCACCCUUUUCCCCAAAUGAUUCUUUCUGAAUAACGCCCAUCUGCACAUUGGGAGGAGGGGGUGGGGCCUUGGGAAGUUUGCACUGUUUGCAGGGGGGAGGAGCCUGGUCUCUCUCGUUUCUGUGUGGUAAGGUGGGAUUUAAUCCCUGAGAUGGAGAGCCUGUUAGCAGGACUCUUAUCUCACUUUGCUGAUGCGUAUUUCCUUUUUCAUUUCUGCCUAAUAAAUUCCACUUGUCACCCUUCUACGUGUCUGCGAGCCUAAUCUUUCCUGGUCGUGUGACAAGAACCCCGUUUUUUUUCCUGCAACGCUAGAGUCACAGAAUUAUUUUUUGAAUCUUAAUGAAUGAUACCUCACAUUCUCUAUGGCUAGAAUGUUCCUCUCCCAGAUACCAUGACUUGGCCCCUUCACUUCAGUUAGGUCUCUGCUCAAAUGUUAUCUGUGAAACAUAGAAAACGGCA
RNAcentral lists this long non-coding RNA (742 nucleotides) under Homo sapiens (human). RNAcentral's name for it is "HSALNT0133674". Lineage: Eukaryota; Metazoa; Chordata; Mammalia; Primates; Hominidae. The record is from RNAcentral.